Priapulus caudatus is the source of this 66-nucleotide non-coding RNA. The record is from the annotation of a RefSeq genome assembly. Lineage: Eukaryota; Metazoa; Priapulida; Priapulimorpha; Priapulimorphida; Priapulidae.
CAAGGAGUAGUUUUAAUUAAAAUAUAAACUUUGGGAGUUUAAGAAAAGAGUUUUUCUUUUCCUUGA